Molecule: small RNA, 58 nt
Filed under: bovine gut metagenome
Description: Streptococcus sRNA SpF59 (ldcC RNA)
Rfam family: Streptococcus sRNA SpF59 (ldcC RNA)
Source: RNAcentral
GACCACUCGGCGCGCGGCGCGGAGUCAAGGCCAUACGGACAGCCGGGUCCGCUGCCGA